AAUGUUACAUAUUUUAGAUACAGAUAAUACUGUUAAUAGGAGAUCAGAUUGUGAGGGACUUAGCAAUAUUUAUAGUCAGUUUGUCCAAAGAAAUAUGUUAUAUUAGAUUUUAUCAACAUUUUUAACUUGAAUUUUUAGAUAGGAUUUGUUUUUGUUUUCUUAUCAAAUUUUUGAAUUUCUUAUCAAAUAGAAAUUUUUAAUUUGAUUGUUUUGAAAUUUCAAUAAUGUGAAACGUCUUUUUCAAGAUAUUCUAUUAUUGAAUUUUAAAAUAUCUUUGAUACAAAAAGCUAAACAGUUUUUGAAAAACCACUUUUGUUAAACCUUAAGAGGUUAAAAAGUUUUUAAUAUUAGUCCUGAAGAAGGGUAUAUCCAUACCCGAAACGUCGACUGAUAGAGAAAAGAACUAACUCAAGAAAAGACCUAUAGCCCACAAACAAUAGUAUAUUUUAUUUUACUAAAAAGGUCACGUAAGAAGGAAUAUUUAUUAAUACUAA
Long non-coding RNA from Episyrphus balteatus (marmalade hoverfly), 494 nucleotides. RefSeq lists it as uncharacterized. The transcript is spliced from 2 exons. Lineage: Eukaryota; Metazoa; Arthropoda; Insecta; Diptera; Syrphidae. The record is from RefSeq and is a predicted model, not a curated record.